Schistosoma rodhaini is the source of this 48-nucleotide non-coding RNA. NCBI's taxonomy places the organism in Eukaryota, Metazoa, Platyhelminthes, Trematoda, Strigeidida, Schistosomatidae. The record is from Rfam.
AUUCAGCUGUCGAGCCUCAAAUAGGACGAAAUGCGCAUCAAACUGAAU